RNAcentral lists this ribosomal RNA (251 nucleotides) under uncultured prokaryote. RNAcentral's name for it is "partial 16S rRNA". It matches the Rfam family "Bacterial small subunit ribosomal RNA", at positions 525 to 775 of the family's 1533-position model. The record is from RNAcentral.
ACGUAGGGGGCGAGCGUUAUUCGGAAUUACUGGGUGUAAAGGGUAUGUAGGCGGCCCUUCAAGUCGCGUGUCAAAGCCCAGUGCUCAACGCUGGGUGUGCGCGCGAUACUGACGGGCUUGAGGGCUGGAGAGGUGAGCGGAAUUCACGGUGUAGUGGUGAAAUGCGUAGAUAUCAGGAGGAACACCAGUGGCGCAGGCGGCUCACUAGACAGUUACUGACGCUAAGAUGCGAAAGCGUGGGGAGCAAACAG